Molecule: long non-coding RNA, 1242 nt
Filed under: Calidris pugnax (ruff)
Lineage: Eukaryota; Metazoa; Chordata; Aves; Charadriiformes; Scolopacidae
Description: lncRNA (ENSCPUG00000017133.1)
Source: RNAcentral
AUGAGGUGCAGUUCACCUGGGAAAAACACGCACUGGCCUCGAUGCUGCUUAAAAACCCACUCCAUGUGCCCCGGGGGGACCGACCCAAACCCCGGGGUCUCCUAUCGCCACCAAGCAGUGCCUCCAGCUUGGAGGGCCUUCAACAUCACACUGCAGCUCUCAAGGAGGGGGGGCUCAAUAAUUUCACACCGCUUUGUGCCCCGCACACCAACACGCAGGCAGAGGGGUUGCUUUUCAUCCAGGGAGCUCUGCCGGUGCCGGGGGGAAAAUGGGGAGGCAGGACUGGGACACCCCCCAAUGGGGAUGCCAGGCACCUGUAGCGAUGCCCACCCUGCUCCUGCCUCUGGUCCCGCACCUCAGAGCCGCUCCGACCCCCCUGCCAACCCCUUGCUUUAAAGUGUUUUGAUUCAAGUUGAGAAGUCAAAUAUAUGAGCAACACUCGGGGACUUUGCGUCCGAGGUGGCUACUGCGCGGGGCUCGGCGGUGGCCGAGUCAGUAGCUCUGAGCAAUGGCAUCAUUGGACCGAAGGCACCGUGACCUGCGGUGGUUAAUUCUCGUCAACAAAUUUCUAUUAAUUGCAACGGCCCCGGGAAUGCCAUCGCAGCCCCGGAGCAAGUCCUUUCCCCCCUGCUCCCCGCCAACACCGAGCGGCCGCGGCACCUCGAACCGCCCCCAAAAAAACAAACCCAAAACCGACGGGGAAAGAAAAAAUUGAGUUUUGCUGAUGAUCCACCCCCCCCAAAACCGAGAGAAACCCUCACAGCAGGCCCGCUCGGAAUUAAAUAAGCGAGGCUGGGCGGGUGGAGAGGCAGAAAUCACGGCGGAUUUACAUACAGAGCGACACAUUUCCAUAGGGGAAGGCUGAGGGGGGGGACGGGACACGGGACCCUCCCUCCGCACACACACACACACACCCCUCCGCACCACCCGUCCCAGACAGGGACCGCAAAGGCUUUUUUGCCUUAUUCCCCCCCAUCUUCCCCGCCGCCCAGCAAAGGCCUUGGAGAGGCAAGAGGCGAAAAGUGCCGAAAUAAUACCCCCCCCACACACCCAGAAAAGCCAACGCAGUUUUGCAUCCCCCCGGCCCCGUCCCACAGAAGAUGCAGAGACUUACAGGUUAUUUUGCAACAAUAACAACAACAGCUACAAAGAAUUAACCCACCACUCCAAGAGUCCUGGGAAGGAAAAGAGAAAACGGACCAGGAAAAUAAAGAAAUAAAAAAAAUAAUAAAAAAAUAAUAA